This 896-nucleotide unclassified non-coding RNA is filed under the name Hevea brasiliensis (rubber tree). The record is from RNAcentral. Lineage: Eukaryota; Viridiplantae; Streptophyta; Magnoliopsida; Malpighiales; Euphorbiaceae.
AAUGAUGAUUGCAAUGCGUGUUUCGACACUCUCUUGAUUUUUAAGGUGUGUAACAUUGUCAUCACUUCUAGCUGGAAUUGCUGGCACGUCUGAUUGUCCUCAUGACAUGAUACUCUUCUGAACAUGAUAUCUGCUGCCUGCCGUAUUCAAGUGAGAAGAAUUCACUAGGAUAUUCACUUCUGCCGUAUUCACUUCUAGCAGGAUAUUCACUGCUAGCCAUGACAUUCAACGCCAAAUCUCUCAAACAUUUGAUGUCAGAUGUAGUCAAAUCUGAAAUGGCCAACACCAUCUUGCCGAAUCCAUCCAAGGCAUGUGAUGAGAACUCGGUUUUUGAUCUUCAACAAGUGUUGGAAAAGUUUACUUUCAGUACCAUAGGCAAAGUUGCAUUUGUAGUAGACCCUCAAUCCAUGUCAAAUUUGCCUUUUGUUGAAGAUUUUGAUGAUGCUGUAGAGGUCUGCUUUUCAAGAUUCUCGUCUCCAUUUCCAUCAGUCCGAAAGCUCAAGAGAUUGUUCAAUAUUUUAUCAGAGAAGCGAUUCAAAGAAGCCAUUGAAAAGAUCAAUGAGUUUGCUUUGGAAGCAAGUAGAACAGAAUAGCAGUGAAAGGGUAGGCAAAAAUCAAGAUUUGUUAUCAAUAUUCUUGUUCUUGAGUUCAGGUGUGGAAUUUCAAAAUAAAUAACACAAGAUCAAGUUCUUGAAAGACAUAGUCAUAAGCUUUGUACUUUCUGGCAAGGACACAACUUCGUGGUUUCUCUUGUUAAUCCAGGCAACCCUCGUUGCGCACACUUUAUUUACAAAGAGCAAGGCAUUCAAGAUGUUUCAACUUUGUAUAGAACACCAUAUCGGUAACAUACUAAUGAUGAGCAUUAAUCCUUUCAUAUCCUGUCUUAUGGCUAUUCU